UGUAGCAGGAUUACAAACUUUUCCAGCAGUGAAUGAAAACAUCUAGUGAUUUGCUAUGCAAACAUCGAAGCUAGUUCAUGUUAGCAGCCAAGCUAGUCAUUGCUGGCAGCACCCAAACAACUCCACAUAAACUUCAGCUAAAAUAAGCCUCUUCCUUUCUAUGAUGUCCAAAAGUAUUGGCGAUCAAACCAUUCUUAUGGUUGUACGAGUUUCGCCAAACAGCGUCAAACCCAUGCGCUACACUAUCUGCUAACAACACUGAGGUUGACAGUGGCAGACCUUUAAACAUUAACGUGAUGAGGGGUCUAUGUUCUCGUCUAAGCGUCCUCUAUUUGAUGAAACAGCUGCCAAUCACAUCGCUUACCCUGGACACAGUUGGAAAAUAAACGAUAGUCACCGCCCCCUCCUCCCCUUGCCCCUUCACACAUUGGUGAGAAUUGCUGUUACUCCAAGACAAUAGCGCUUCAAUGGCCAAUAGAAAUCAAUAUAAAAAAAAAAUUUAAAAAAGGGGGGGUGGGUCUAAUGCGCUAUUCAGGAAAACUUUUACGUCAGUAAUGUACAUUCUGAGGUAACUAAAGGCUUGUGUUAGCUUACUAAGGAACCGAACGCGUGUUUUACCCAAAGAAGUGAGUACGCAAUUAAAGAACUUUACUAACACUCUGUCUACUAUUUAAACAUGUCACGCAGUUGCUUUGAUGGUAAUUGACAAAAUCGGAAGUUAUCAUAUACCGGAAGCAUGUUUUAAAAGGCUACGGCAUAAUUGUUAGAAAUUUACCAGAAAAACACGGUGUAUUCAGCGUGGGAUUUUGGCGAAAGGAUGCAUGUAGACUACUGAAAAUCGAUGAGCAGACACUCCAUUAAUGUGGCAGAGGAUAAGAAAGCAGAGAAUUCAAUCUAUGAGUAAGUGUAUAUUUUGUUUAUUCAGGCACCAUUUAAUACAAUAUUAUAUGAAGUGUCUAUAGAGUGUUGUAUACCGUAUCUGCUUUCUGCAUUGCUAUUUAAAAGUGGACAGAGAACAGUGAUACAAUUCUAUACAACAGUCAUGAAGCCAAGGUAUGCCUCUCCACAUUGAACAGACAUGUUAUGUAUUUGUUUCAAACCAUGUUGUGUGAAAUUUUUUAUUUAACUCAAAGCAAAGUGAUUGUCUUCUCUCUGCACUGAAAUGGCUCAGGACAUCGUAGUUGCAGCUCUCUUCCACUUUGACCAGGGCUUGUGCAGAACUGCACAGAAUGACAGGCAGAUUUGCAUCAAAGGUCAAAAGAGCAAGAAUUCCAUGGAAAGACAAUUGCAAUUGCUCUGAGUCAGAGCAUGAAACUACAGACAUGCCUCAGGUAUAUUCUGGGAACUCAAUAGGUAGUGGAAUAUGACAAGAAAUAACUGCUGUUUGAUUUUAGCUGAACCCUGACAUAAUAAGUGGUGACACACAAGCACUCAGAGCCAGUAAAGCCAUAAUUAGAGAGGAAAUUUGCCAUCCAAAUGGUAAGGUAAGGCAAUUGGUGUUCUGUUUGUUAUAUUCUCAUGUAUUGUCAGAUCUCAGUGCAUCUUGUUUUCCCAAUGCUUUGGCUCCAGCAGAUUGAGCAGCUUCUAUCAAAUGGGUCACGUGUCAUUGUAUUCUGGAAUGGAAAUAAAAAAGAGAUCGGUGCAGAUCAAAAGUCAGUCACAGUAUCAUUCUUCAAUGGAGAUGUUAAACGCAUACAGGCUGAUAGAACUGUGGUAUGUAUUGAAUGAUUUAAGGCAACAUGGGAAGUGUGGAGAGGCAAUUUUUUGUUUUUACAGACUGCUUAACUGUAGUUGAAUAAUCAAAGAGGAAUAUGAGUGAAAUAUUUUACUGAUUCUCAAUCCUUUGUGCACUUGAAUGCUGAUCUAUGCUCCUAAUGAUCAUACUUGUAAACUCCGCAUCAAAAGUUAUUUAUGCUUAUUCUGUUUCUCAGACAAUGAAUUGUGAAAUAAUUUGUGAAGAAUUUAAGUAGCUGUUGAAUUGAGAAAUACUUAAACGAAGUCACAUGUUGACAACUAAUACAGUUGUCCGAGAUCUUCAGAACAUUCUGUUAAUUCUUUCUGUUGUAUACAUUGUAGAAAUGUUUGUUUAAACAAAAGUUCCUAUUUUUCACUAAUUAUUUUAACACG
Molecule: non-coding RNA, 2127 nt
Organism: Electrophorus electricus (electric eel)
Lineage: Eukaryota; Metazoa; Chordata; Actinopteri; Gymnotiformes; Gymnotidae
Source: RefSeq, a predicted model, not a curated record